RNAcentral lists this microRNA (24 nucleotides) under Equus caballus (horse). RNAcentral's name for it is "eca-miR-8987". The record is from miRBase by way of RNAcentral. Lineage: Eukaryota; Metazoa; Chordata; Mammalia; Perissodactyla; Equidae.
UGAAGGCGUCCAUCGGGCCUGCGG